RNAcentral lists this ribosomal RNA (253 nucleotides) under uncultured bacterium. RNAcentral's name for it is "partial 16S ribosomal RNA". It matches the Rfam family "Bacterial small subunit ribosomal RNA", at positions 524 to 776 of the family's 1533-position model. The record is from RNAcentral.
UACAGAGGGUGCAAGCGUUAAUCGGAAUUACUGGGCGUAAAGCGCGCGUAGGUGGUUCGUUAAGUUGGAUGUGAAAUCCCCGGGCUCAACCUGGGAACUGCAUUCAAAACUGUCGAGCUAGAGUAUGGUAGAGGGUGGUGGAAUUUCCUGUGUAGCGGUGAAAUGCGUAGAUAUAGGAAGGAACACCAGUGGCGAAGGCGACCACCUGGACUGAUACUGACACUGAGGUGCGAAAGUGUGGGGAGCAAACAGG